This 563-nucleotide ribosomal RNA is filed under the name Alternaria sp. Its description in RNAcentral is "eukaryotic LSU rRNA". The stretch from base 198 to 351 matches the Rfam family "5.8S ribosomal RNA". Lineage: Eukaryota; Fungi; Ascomycota; Dothideomycetes; Pleosporales; Pleosporaceae. The record is from RNAcentral.
UCUCCGUAGGUGAACCUGCGGAGGGAUCAUUACACAAAUAUGAAGGCGGGCUGGAACCUCUCGGGGUUACAGCCUUGCUGAAUUAUUCACCCUUGUCUUUUGCGUACUUCUUGUUUCCUUGGUGGGUUCGCCCACCACUAGGACAAACAUAAACCUUUUGUAAUUGCAAUCAGCGUCAGUAACAAAUUAAUAAUUACAACUUUCAACAACGGAUCUCUUGGUUCUGGCAUCGAUGAAGAACGCAGCGAAAUGCGAUAAGUAGUGUGAAUUGCAGAAUUCAGUGAAUCAUCGAAUCUUUGAACGCACAUUGCGCCCUUUGGUAUUCCAAAGGGCAUGCCUGUUCGAGCGUCAUUUGUACCCUCAAGCUUUGCUUGGUGUUGGGCGUCUUGUCUCUAGCUUUGCUGGAGACUCGCCUUAAAGUAAUUGGCAGCCGGCCUACUGGUUUCGGAGCGCAGCACAAGUCGCACUCUCUAUCAGCAAAGGUCUAGCAUCCAUUAAGCCUUUUUUUCAACUUUUGACCUCGGAUCAGGUAGGGAUACCCGCUGAACUUAAGCAUAUCAAUA